Macrobrachium nipponense is the source of this 2678-nucleotide long non-coding RNA. RefSeq lists it as uncharacterized. NCBI's taxonomy places the organism in Eukaryota, Metazoa, Arthropoda, Malacostraca, Decapoda, Palaemonidae. The record is from RefSeq and is a predicted model, not a curated record. The transcript is spliced from 4 exons.
AGUGAGUGUUUGCCAGGCGCCUUCUUGCCGAGCGCGGUUGCAUUGUGCCGACGAGAUUUACGUAUUCCACGCAAGUUCCGGGGUGGUUUUCUCUUAUUUUGGACAUCUGAGGAAACUACGGUUUACUGUGGCCAAGUGGAGGAUUGCCGCUUCAGAUCCAGAGCUUGAAAGUAAGUUGACAUCUCUGCUGGACCUAAUAGAUGGGUUUCCGCCCUUCAGCAUCGGUGGGUUCUUCGUGGCUGCCAGAGCCAGGCUUAUUGACAUCGCCAGCUUCACCGCUACUUAUCUGGUCAUCUUGCUACAAUUCCAGGCAGGAGAAGAUUCUAAUAAGUCAUAAUAUAAAAGGCAAGGCUUCGGAAUCGACUGGUUGAUGCCCUUCGUGAAAAUAUGGGACUUUGAUUUUCUACACAGGUAGAAUUUAAAAAAAAAAAAAAAAAAAAAAAAUCAAGUCUUCAGGUCAUCAUGGAUUUUACCGCAUAAAAUCCCAAAAUUGUUAAACGCAUUAUAAAGGUGGAAAAUUACCUUGAACAAGAUCAUUUAUUGUUUACCAGAUCAUCUUCCACAUGAUAAAACAUAACGAAAGUCUGUAAUAGAGCCAUGCACGAUGGUGCAUAAAUGAUAAAUUAAAUAUUUCUUUCACUGGGUAGGGUUCCAUACUAAGAAAGCGUCCAGAAAUUACUGCUACUCUUAUGUUUUACUGUUAAGUCAUGCUGUGUAUAUAGUCCCAAAUUCACAAGAGUAUUAAAACAGCAACAUGUAUAGAUUCAGUGUAGCACACUUAUAAACCAAUUCCCCAAAGGAAUGACAAGCAUAUCACUCUAGUAUGAUUGUCUGUACUUCACUUUUCUUGUUGUCUUCUCUUACAACUUUUACUUUAAAAAAAAUCUGCAUGAUGUAUUUCACCACACACCUGUAUUACAUAAUUUUAGUGUUGCCAUUGGCGGUAAUGUUGUGUAACACGUGUAAGGCAAGUCAAAAUAGACAUUCUUCCCAAUGGUUUUAAGGUAAUGACAGGCAUCGGAUUUGGAGAAACAUUUCCAAAUUUCACUUGAACUCCAGAUUGCUUUAUAAUUGUAACAUCACUGAAUGAAAUGAUGUAACUGCCUAUGACUGUCGGUGUUUUGUAAGCCUUUGGACAGUUCAGGUACAUCCACUGGUAUGAAAGAUACUUGAAGGAUUAUAUCUAAUUAUAGAUAUGUGCCCAAAAAUAGUCAUUUGACGGUUUAAUGCCCUUUCUAGUUGUAGGAUUGAAAAAGUCUAGAGCAUUUGAAAAAGGAAAUACUUUUAAUUUUCCUUAAUUGUGUUAUGCCAUCCCUUUUGGGGUAGGGUAGGAGGUGGACAUUUGGGAGUCGGCUCUCACUUCUGCCAUUGGUGGAAGCAUAAACUUCAUGAAAGGCUGAUGAUAUCUUUUUAAGAAUUUUAGGUUUAAUUCUUUUAUUCGAUCUUUAUGAAUAGUAAGAAUAAAGAACCGAGUACCACCAACCCCCCUUCCCCACCCUGGAACCUUCCAGAGAUAUACUUUUGUAGAUAUUUUCAUUUAUUCACGGUAGAAAUGUCCAAUGAGGCAUUGUAGUCAAUAGUUUUAGAUCACUCCUCGCAGUUUUCAAGGAUGGCUCAAAGUCAGAUGCUGACGUCGCCAUUGGAAUGUCUUUUCCUGAUACAGAAAGCAGCGGGGGAUUAUCAUGUGUUGCAGCCAUUUCUUAACUCAGAAUAGAAAAUAUAUUUUAACUCAAGAAGUGUUCGUCAGUCAAUGGAAUCUUUUAACCCUUUAAACCCUCCGAUUUUAGAGAUAUUGGAAUGGGGGCUUUUAGUGAAAAGAAGACGCAAUGAAAUCAGUUUUUGCUAGAGGUCUUCACCUCUUGGGAUGGUUGGGAACAAGCAAGCUGAUCAACUUACUAAGUAAGCAGUCACCUCCCCAGAACCCAGAAGAUGUCUACUACUAUACCGGGAUGCAAGUCCUCAAGUAGACCAGAAAAUUAAAAAGUUUUGGCAGUCCCUUUGGGAAAAUAUUUUAACGAAUCAAAAAAUGCGCAGUAUUACGUCAUCAGUGUCUCCUUUGUCAUAUCAUUAUAUGCCAAAGAGACAAGAAACGAUGUCGUACCAGCUUAGGAUUAGACCUACAAGACUCAUGCAUGGGUUCUUGAUGUCCGGUGAAAAUCCUCCAUUCUUGAAUGUGAGACAUUUGGUGGUCGAAUGUCCCUUGGGAUUCUAAGGCAUAGAUUCCUCUUUUGCAGCGAUUCUCGGGGAGACCGUAAUUUAGAGCAGCUUGUAUAUCUUUUGUUAGGGAGCGCUGGCCUCCUCAAAAUUUAGAUCAUAUACAUUGUGCAUAUGUAUGUAUAUUAUAUGUUUUACAGAUAUGAUUAAUAUUUAUACUUUUAGGCAUUUUUACAUGAGACCCCUUUAAACUUAUUUAUUUACUUAUCUUUUUAAUUUCGUAUUUAAUUUUCUUACGGCGUCAAUAACCUAGAUGCCGUGACCCCUGUUUUAAUAGCCAGAAAUCAAUGAAUUCCUCUCUAUAUUUCUGCAAACAAAAGAAACGACUUCGGAAUAGAUAUCGCUAUAUGUUUUUAAAACAAAUUGUAAAACAAGGAAUUAAAUUAUACCAUACCGUAGCAUAAAACGAAUACCUCAGAAAGUAAAGAAGAAAAAAAUUACAGUUUAUGUCCACUAAAUCGUCA